This 1667-nucleotide long non-coding RNA is filed under the name Homo sapiens (human). Its description in RNAcentral is "PREDICTED lncRNA (TCONS_00257824)". Lineage: Eukaryota; Metazoa; Chordata; Mammalia; Primates; Hominidae. The record is from RNAcentral.
UACAGUGCUACUGGCCCAUAAUCAGGCAACUGCAGAGUCUUAGGGGGUUAUCUAAUGUAGUCUUGGGGUGGCUGGAUAGACUUCCCAAAGAAGGUGAUGCCGAAGCUGAGGUCGGAAAUUACGAAGAUCAGCUAUCAAACUUGGAAAUCAUGUCUUAGAGAUCAAGGAGCCAAGAGAUGAGACAAGCCUGGGUUCCUAGGUGAUAGGGUGUGGCUGUGUCCCCACCCAAAUCUCGUCUUGAAUUGUAGCUCCCAUAAUCCCCACAUGUUGUGGAGGGACCCUGUGGAAGGUAAUUGAAUUAUGGAGGAAGGCCUGAGGAGAGAAGACACAUAGUCAUGCUGACUAAACCAGAUCACCUAGAAUUACCAAAUGGAAAGAUUGUGCCUGCAGCCUGGCCUGUUGCCCACAGCGGUCUACCUGCCACACUGGGAAAGAUCGAGCAGAGACAGAGAAGAAAAGGAGGCUCCAUUUUUCAGGCUGCUCUCCCGCAGGCUCAUGUUUUGUGUUCAUGCCAGGCAGAGAACACAAAAUGUUCCAAUAAAUAAGUAUCAAAGGUUAGUGGUGAAAAUGAAGGAGGAGGAGGCAUUGCGUGAAAAACUAAACAUGCAAAAUAUUACACACAAAGAGAACCAAAAUGCAGGUUCACUGGAAAUGAUAGACAAUAUGUUAAAACAAGAGGAGAGAAGAGAGCUGAAAUAAUCAAAUGGAAACACACAAUUUAGGGCUAAGAUCUUGUUGUGUUCAGCCACAAAUGAUGGCCAGCAGUGAGGAAUCUGUGUGUUCUCCACACUCUUCGCUCCUGGGAAGUCAACUCACAUGGACCAUGAUAUCAAUAUCUGCUCCUUCCCCUAAUAUCUGUUUGACCUUGGGUCAGUUACUUAAACUUCCUAAGCCUUAGUUUCUUUGUCUGGAAAAUAGGGAUAGUUAUACCUACCACACAACCACUUUGUAAUGAAUAUGUUGGAAAUUAUAUGCAAAUUGGCUUCCGUUGGUGUUUGGAACAUAGUAGGUUUUUAACUGGAAUAUAAUAGCUACCAUUAUCAGUAUCAUCAUAUUAAUUUAUAUUUCCAUCUUCAGCCCUUAACCCAGGAUCUUCAGUAAAUGUUGAAUUCUCAAAUUUGUUAAAUUCACUUGUCUAUACUAAUAUUUUACUCUAGGUUUCUUAGAAUAUUCUAGAUAAUAUUAUUAUGUAGAAUAUGUUAUGUAAGCUUCAUCUUAUCUGUAAAUAUAGUUUUACUUUUUCCUUUCUAAUUUUUAUGUCGAUUACUUCUUUUUCUUGGCUUAUUGAAUUGGCUAGGAUUCCCGUACAGUGUUGAAUACGUGCAGCAAGACUGCACAUCUUGCCUUGUUCCUGGUCCCACAGAGAGAAUAUCCAGUACUUCACAAUAAGUAUGUGUUAAUUGUAGAUUUUAUUAGAUUGAGGAAGUUCCCUUUCCUUUCAAGUCAGUCUUUUUAUUUUAAACAUGUAUUGAAGUUUUGUCAAAUGUCUUCAUCUAUUGGAAUAAUUAUACAUAUCUCUUUUUUAUUCUGUUAAUAUUACAUUUCAAUCUUCUGUCUACCUAAAAUCCCUAGAAUAAUCUCCAUUUGGCUAUGAUGUGUUGUGCUUUUAUAUAUUACUGAAUUCUAUAUGCCAAUAUUAUUAAAAUUUUCUGUCUUUAUGAGAAAUA